AUUACAUCUGUCCGAAUUGUAAUUUCAAGAGGCAUCUUUGGGUGUGGCUCAGGUAAAAGUCUGUUGGAAUACAGUAUCAUAGAGGGUGAGAAUCCCGUCCAUGACCUGGGACCCAUUCCUAUGUAAAGUGUCUUCAAAGAGUCGAGUUGUUUGGGAAUGCAGCUCUAAAUGGGUGGUAAAUUCCAUCUAAGGCUAAAUACUGGUGGGAGACCGAUAGCGAACAAGUAGUGUGAACGAAAGAUGAAAAGAACUUUGAAAAGAGAGUUAAAUAGUACGUGAAAUUGUUGAAAGGGAAGCGCUUGGGACCAGAGUGCUGCUUUUCAGGAUCAGCAAAGCUUCAAGUUUUGUGCACUCCUGAAUUUGCAGGGCCAGCAUCAGUUUGGAUGGUUGUAUAAAGUCAGGAGAAAGGUAGCUUUGUCUUUUUUAGAUAGAGUGUUAUAGACUCUUGUGCAAUGCAACCAAUUUGGACUGAGGACUGCAGCAAUUUAUUUGCUUAAGGAUGCUGGCGUAAUGGUCUCAAUCGACCCGUCUUGAAACACGGACCAAGGAGUCUAACAUCUAUGCAAGUGUUUGGGUGUCAAACCCAUGUGCGAAAUGAAAGUGAAUGCAGAUGGGAUCCCCCACAAGGGGUGCACCAUCGACCGAUCCUGAUGUUCUCGGAUGGAUUUGAGUAAGAGCAUAGCUGUUGGGACCCGAAAGAUGGUGAACUAUGCCUGAAUAGGGUGAAGCCAGAGGAAACUCUGGUGGAGGCUCGUAGCGGUUCUGACGUGCAAAUCGAUCGUCAAAUUUGGGUAUAGG
This 798-nucleotide ribosomal RNA is filed under the name Neolecta irregularis. RNAcentral's name for it is "LSU rRNA". It matches the Rfam family "Eukaryotic large subunit ribosomal RNA", at positions 127 to 921 of the family's 3401-position model. Lineage: Eukaryota; Fungi; Ascomycota; Neolectomycetes; Neolectales; Neolectaceae. The record is from RNAcentral.